AUUGAACGCUGGCGGCAUGCCUUACACAUGCAAGUCGAACGGCAGCACGGGAGCAAUCCUGGUGGCGAGUGGCGAACGGGUGAGUAAUAUAUCGGAACGUGCCCAGUCGUGGGGGAUAACGUAGCGAAAGCUACGCUAAUACCGCAUACGAUCUACGGAUGAAAGCGGGGGAUCGCAAGACCUCGCGCGAUUGGAGCGGCCGAUAUCAGAUUAGCUAGUUGGUGGGGUAAAAGCUCACCAAGGCGACGAUCUGUAGCUGGUCUGAGAGGACGACCAGCCACACUGGAACUGAGACACGGUCCAGACUCCUACGGGAGGCAGCAGUGGGGAAUUUUGGACAAUGGGCGAAAGCCUGAUCCAGCAAUGCCGCGUGCAGGAUGAAGGCCUUCGGGUUGGUAAACUGCUUUUGUUACGGAACGAAACGGUAGAGCUCUAAUAAAGACUUGCUAAUGACGGUACCGUAAGAAUAAGACACCGGCUAACUACGUGCC
Molecule: ribosomal RNA, 491 nt
Filed under: uncultured bacterium
Lineage: Bacteria
Description: bacterial SSU rRNA
Rfam family: Bacterial small subunit ribosomal RNA
Source: RNAcentral